UGUCAGUUAAUUUGGGAAUGGUGACUAUCUUACUCAAUGUGUGAGAUUGUGUGUGUUAAAAGAGAUUGGGCAUCUACAGAGCCACGGAAAAUCCCCAAGUCCAGUUUUGAUUUUCCACUCUUUUCAUUUUUUUUUCCUUGCAGAUUCGUGAAAAGGAUUGGGAGUACAAAGUGAAGCUUUUCCACUAUAUACAAGAGCAGGAAAUGGAAAUCGAAGGGUUGGAAGCAAAUUCUUGCGGAUGACUUCAAAGAAAUACAUUCGGGUGAGAGCGGGUUAAAUACUUCCCAGCGGUGUUUCCAAAUAAAAGUAUCUCCAGUGGUAGGCAUCUCCUUCUCUUGCUGUUUGCAUUCUACUGGCAUAAUAUUGUUAUAACAGCAUCAUGUUAGGUUGAAAAAGAGUCUUCCUCGGUACAACUUUUCAACUCUCAAUCUUAAUCUUUUAUUCUC
Malus domestica (apple) is the source of this 446-nucleotide non-coding RNA. NCBI's taxonomy places the organism in Eukaryota, Viridiplantae, Streptophyta, Magnoliopsida, Rosales, Rosaceae. The record is from RefSeq and is a predicted model, not a curated record.